RNAcentral lists this ribosomal RNA (400 nucleotides) under uncultured bacterium. RNAcentral's name for it is "bacterial SSU rRNA". It matches the Rfam family "Bacterial small subunit ribosomal RNA", at positions 355 to 747 of the family's 1533-position model. The record is from RNAcentral.
UGGGGGAUAUUGGACAAUGGGGGCAACCCUGAUCCAGCGAUGCCGCGUGUGUGAAGAAGGCCUGAGGGUUGUAAAGCACUUUCGGUGGGGAGGAGAGGAUUCAGGUUAAGAGCUAGAGUCUGAGACGUUACCCACAAAAGAAGCACCGGCUAACUCCGUGCCAGCAGCCGCGGUAAUACGGAGGGUGCGAGCGUUAAUCGGAAUUAUUGGGCGUAAAGGGUGCGUAGGUGGUUUUAUAAGUUAUCUGUGAAAACCCUGGGCUUAACCUGGGGGAGAGAGAUAAGACUGUUGAACUAGAGUAUAGGAGAGGGUAGUGGAAUUUCCGGUGUAGCGGUGAAAUGCGUAGAGAUCGGAAGGAACACCGGUGGCGAAGGCGGCUGCCUGGCCUAAUACUGACACU